RNAcentral lists this ribosomal RNA (465 nucleotides) under Vreelandella stevensii. RNAcentral's name for it is "partial 16S ribosomal RNA". It matches the Rfam family "Bacterial small subunit ribosomal RNA", at positions 338 to 795 of the family's 1533-position model. The record is from RNAcentral. Lineage: Bacteria; Pseudomonadati; Pseudomonadota; Gammaproteobacteria; Oceanospirillales; Halomonadaceae.
CCUACGGAGGGCUGCAGUGGGGAAUAUUGGACAAUGGGGGGAACCCUGAUCCAGCCAUGCCGCGUGUGUGAAGAAGGCCCUCGGGUUGUAAAGCACUUUCAGUGAGGAAGAACGCCUGGUGGUUAAUACCCAUCAGGAAAGACAUCACUCACAGAAGAAGCACCGGCUAACUCCGUGCCAGCAGCCGCGGUAAUACGGAGGGUGCGAGCGUUAAUCGGAAUUACUGGGCGUAAAGCGCGCGUAGGUGGCUUGAUAAGCCGGUUGUGAAAGCCCCGGGCUCAACCUGGGAACGGCAUCCGGAACUGUCAAGCUAGAGUGCAGGAGAGGAAGGUAGAAUUCCCGGUGUAGAGGUGAAAUGCGUAGAGAUCGGGAGGAAUACCAGUGGCGAAGGCGGCCUUCUGGACUGACACUGACACUGAGGUGCGAAAGCGUGGGUAGCAAACAGGAUUAGAUACCCUAGUAGUC